AUACGGAGGGGGUUAGCGUUGUUCGGAAUUACUGGGCGUAAAGCGCACGUAGGCGGACUGGAAAGUUGGGGGUGAAAUCCCGGGGCUCAACCCCGGAACUGCCUCCAAAACUUCCAAUCUAGAGAUCGAGAGAGGUGAGUGGAAUUCCAAGUGUAGAGGUGAAAUUCGUAGAUAUUUGGAGGAGCACCAGUGGCGAAGGCGGCUCACUGGCUCGAUACUGACGCUGAGGUACGAAAGCGUGGGGAGCAAACAGGAUUAGAAACCCUAGUAGUCC
Molecule: ribosomal RNA, 274 nt
Filed under: uncultured bacterium
Lineage: Bacteria
Description: partial 16S ribosomal RNA
Rfam family: Bacterial small subunit ribosomal RNA
Source: RNAcentral